This is a long non-coding RNA of Callorhinus ursinus (northern fur seal), 3192 nucleotides long. RefSeq lists it as uncharacterized. NCBI's taxonomy places the organism in Eukaryota, Metazoa, Chordata, Mammalia, Carnivora, Otariidae. The record is from RefSeq and is a predicted model, not a curated record.
AGCGCCCGCUGGGGUGCGUCUCCAUGCCCGCCGGCGGGCGCACCGCGUCGUCCGCUCUGCGGCAAUCAGAGAGUUGUGCUGGGGCUCGCUCGUCUUCCCCGGAGUUAGUUGCCUCCUCUCCCGGGUCGCGUCGAGGUCGUACUAAACCGUGGCGGGUCUCCUUUUCUGCCUGCAACAGCCCCGGGUCCCGUCCGGCCGCACGCCCACCUCCAAGGGAGAGUCCCCGGAGCCGAAGAAAAUUCGCUCUGAGCACGCAGAACACAGCAGCGGGCAAAUCAGAGUGCAGAUGAACCCGCCCCCAUUGUGAAACUCACACGGUUUCUACUACUGUGGGCAUCAAAACGUUCUUGACGCGGCCGCAGCCGGAAACUACCCUCGAUCAAGCUAAACUGCCCAGAGCCCAAGCACAGUAACUAUGCCCCCUGCAUAGAGGCACUAACAGCAAGGGUACAUCUGGCAAGAGAUUUGCCAUCCCUGGACAAGUACACGGUUAUACAAUGGUUCCUUGCACACGUGAAUACCUGUGCAUAACCCAGGGCCCCUGCGCAGUGGCUUGCCUGUGACCCUGCAGGGUGACCCAGCACUGAACCACCCUACCCUCUCCUGCAAAAUGGACGUAUACACGAGUCCGUUCAGCCUGCAGUCAACACCUGCUGCAAAUCUUCUACAAGCCUGUAAAGCUUGCCAUUGGGGGCAGGAGGAACAGACACUCAAAGAGUGAGGGGGACCCACGUUAACCCUAAAUUCAGCUUGAGAAUCCAGACCCUCUCUGAACCACCAGAUACUAUUCCUACAGUGGGAACUGCUGAGGCACACCCAAGAUUUUCCACACCUUGUAAAUCGCCACAUAUCAAACUCUCCUUAAAAUAUCUCAUCUCAUGUGCGACUCAGAACGCUUGUGAGAUUCACUCAACCUGACACUCAAUCAACAUCCGUCAACUGACAGCACGGAAAUUAAGAUGAGAAUAACUGUCCCUGAGGCGUUAUGAGCCCUGAAAAAUGGAUGUGGAUCGGUUCUUGGUAGAACCAUUUCCCUUUCUUGAAGAUCACCGCGCCUUGACACCACCCCUUGUAGACUGCAGUCUUCCUCCGGCCCUGCUUCCAUUCUGCUCACUCCGGAUAGUCCUCGACAAAAAAUCUAGAAUAUCUUCAGGCCACUGUUCGGUCUUAGAGAUACAUUUCCAUUCUAUUUAGUGCCUCGGAGAAGUCAUCAUGGUUAAUAUCUGCACUUUAAUGCUCCCUCCUGAGCUAUGGUUCAUCUAGCUAAGUCAUGCUUUAGUGAUAAUUAGGGAAGAGGUGACCGACAUGAGGAUUAGAUUCAUGGCUUAGUUUGUCUGGGAGAUAUAUAUUUUUUUACUGCUAAUUUAUAUGACAAAUCUGGUAGGCACUCUUGGCUAGCAUAAUUUAUUUUACCGGGAUGAGAGGUUGUGUUUUUCUAAUUCUUCAGUUGAGCUUGCUGACCUGUAUAAAGUCAGCAAAAUUCAAUAAUAUUGUUCAAGCAUCCUUGUAGAAUCUAUGCUAAAUACUAGCAAUUGAGUUCAAAUAGAUACAGUUCAGUGUCCUUUGACUAUUCAUAUUGCAAAGCUGACACGAACACGAAACAGUUUAACAUAAUACCACAUAAUAUGCUCACCUGUUGUAAUGAUUUAUUCACAGUUGCUCAGUUGCUUCCUAGCUAAAGUUUUAGCAACUAGGCACUGAGCGCCCCCCUCCCACCAGACCUGCUGAAAUACACUAGAAUUGCCUGGUUCUCACUCAAUAAGGGUGAGAACAUUCAGUGCCAAGUUCCCAAAUCUUAGGCUUGGUCCUCCAAAUGCUUUUACCCUGGACUUCCCUCCUCAGUGACUGGUAGCUUGGUGUUUUGUUUCGAUAUUAGGUUUCAACUGGAUAGAAUGUGUUAAGUAACUUCCUUCUCCACAAUGUACUUUAACUGAACCUCUUCUUCAGAUAUACGGUAAGAGGCCCCUCAGGACAUGGAAAGGCCAUCUGGUCUUGUGGCAUAUAGCUGCAUGCAUCUCUCCAUCCCUCAGGAGAGUUGUACCCACAGUCUGAGCCCCUCCGUCUUUCCAUAAUGCCAGUUGGAGCAGAUCUUAACAACUUGAUCCUGUGUUUUUAUAGGUCAAUUAGCAUUUAUCUGAGUAAUUAACAAGCCCAGUUCCCCACUGUGCUAAACCUCUCAAAAUCAUACAAAACUGGACCUGUAAAUCCUUAAUCCCACUUCCCCACCCUGGCACGGAGCUUGGUGUCAAGCCAUUUUGUGUGGGUUUAUCCUUCAGAGUGCAAUAGGAAAAUCAUUCUGGACUUCAAGAAGGAAAUGUCAAGACAAGAAACAGAAGGAGGCAAAGAGAGGUCAUUGGUGCAACCAUUAAAGAAAAACUUCAGGCUGCCAACUUCAGCUCUAUAGGGAAAUGGGGACUAAAGCCAAAGACAGAUUUCAACCCCAUGUCAGCUGAAGUAUAACAUGCAGUCACUCAUUUGAGCUACCGCUUGAAUUUAUUCCUACAUAUUUGUGACUUUGAAAAUGCAGCAUCAAGCAUGGUGCUAUUUCUCUUGGACUUGGGGCAAAAGGAUUUGAUGUUACUACAGUAACAUUUCGGGGAGGGAGGUGGGAAGGAGAGAACAGUAUGUUCCCACAUUUGGAGACAUUCUCUCUCCCUCGUAACUGCUUUUUCUUAUUCCUGUAUGUAGGGAUUUUGUAAAUUAGCCAUAAAAAAAAAAAAGCCUAUUUCUUACUCAGGCAUCUACUCACACUUUGAAAAGAGAAAAAGGGUUUUUACUAGUUUGACAUUAGCUAACUUAUUGUAGUUUAUUUAUUGGUAGAUGACAGUACUUUUAUAUAUGUCUUAUCUCCACAGUAGAUUGUAAGCUUGGGGAAAGGGAGUCGCUCUAUAGUAGUUAUAGGACUAUGGGAGCAAUGCCCAUGAGUCCGUAUGCAAAUGAGAAUUGGCAUCCCCUCCCUUCCCCUAGGAGGGGAUGAGCACUCAUUCUCAAGGUGCUACAAUUGCUCCACUGAUUUUGGAACUUUGCCAGGGGCAGUCUUCUAGAUCUUUCCAUGAAUUGCCUUUACUUCAGGUCUGGUUCACAAGUCACCCCAAAAUCAGUUUGGAUACUUUACAAUCAUCACACUUCAUGAGUAUUUUUUAAAGAAUUAUUGAGCUAUCCUUUACAUAUAAUAAAAUUCACCCAUUUUAA